Penaeus vannamei (Pacific white shrimp) is the source of this 523-nucleotide non-coding RNA. NCBI's taxonomy places the organism in Eukaryota, Metazoa, Arthropoda, Malacostraca, Decapoda, Penaeidae. The record is from RefSeq and is a predicted model, not a curated record.
GGAGCGGAAAGUACCUGGCUCGCCUCCGCUUCCCUCCUGCGGUCACGGCCUUCGUCAGGCGCCACGUGCAGGCCAAGCGGUUCCUCGUGGCCACUGACGCCGGCUACUAUUGAGACCCUCACGGAAGCGAGCAGGAUGACCUCGAGCAUCAAGGAGGACCGAUGACGGAGGAGGAGGCCAGGUCUUUCGCUCAGGACCCGCAGUUCGACGCCAUUUUGAGGAUGAGGAGGUGGACGAGAAAGCCAAGGACCCGAGGCAGUCACGCCGCCCUUGGAGCACUAUAAAACAUGUGUUUGGGGGUUCCUGCGCGGGAGAGCGAGCGGCGGCGAGCUAGGCGGGAAAAAAGAUUUGAAACGCUCGGGCUACGGGUGGAACAAGAGGGUCCGUUUUCUGUUUCUUCUUGUUUUCCUUUUCCUUGUUUCAAAAUUCGUUUUUUUUUUUUUUUUUUUUUUUAUUUUUUUGUUCUCUUGUGGUCUGGUGAAAGUACAUGGAUGGAAACAGUUUAUUAAAAUGUUCGGAUGAA